GGUUAAGCGACUAAGCGUACACGGUGGAUGCCCUGGCAGUCAGAGGCGAUGAAGGACGUGCUAAUCUGCGAUAAGCGUCGGUAAGGUGAUAUGAACCGUUAUAACCGGCGAUUUCCGAAUGGGGAAACCCAGUGUGUUUCGACACACUAUCAUUAACUGAAUCCAUAGGUUAAUGAGGCGAACCGGGGGAACUGAAACAUCUAAGUACCCCGAGGAAAAGAAAUCAACCGAGAUUCCCCCAGUAGCGGCGAGCGAACGGGGAGCAGCCCAGAGCCUGAAUCAGUGUGUGUGUUAGUGGAAGCGUCUGGAAAGGCGCGCGAUACAGGGUGACAGCCCCGUACACAAAAAUGCACAUGCUGUGAGCUCGAUGAGUAGGGCGGGACACGUGGUAUCCUGUCUGAAUAUGGGGGGACCAUCCUCCAAGGCUAAAUACUCCUGACUGACCGAUAGUGAACCAGUACCGUGAGGGAAAGGCGAAAAGAACCCCGGCGAGGGGAGUGAAAAAGAACCUGAAACCGUGUACGUACAAGCAGUGGGAGCACGCUUAGGCGUGUGACUGCGUACCUUUUGUAUAAUGGGUCAGCGACUUAUAUUCUGUAGCAAGGUUAACCGAAUAGGGGAGCCGAAGGGAAACCGAGUCUUAACUGGGCGUUAAGUUGCAGGGUAUAGACCCGAAACCCGGUGAUCUAGCCAUGGGCAGGUUGAAGGUUGGGUAACACUAACUGGAGGACCGAACCGACUAAUGUUGAAAAAUUAGCGGAUGACUUGUGGCUGGGGGUGAAAGGCCAAUCAAACCGGGAGAUAGCUGGUUCUCCCCGAAAGCUAUUUAGGUAGCGCCUCGUGAAUUCAUCUCCGGGGGUAGAGCACUGUUUCGGCAAGGGGGUCAUCCCGACUUACCAACCCGAUGCAAACUGCGAAUACCGGAGAAUGUUAUCACGGGAGACACACGGCGGGUGCUAACGUCCGUCGUGAAGAGGGAAACAACCCAGACCGCCAGCUAAGGUCCCAAAGUCAUGGUUAAGUGGGAAACGAUGUGGGAAGGCCCAGACAGCCAGGAUGUUGGCUUAGAAGCAGCCAUCAUUUAAAGAAAGCGUAAUAGCUCACUGGUCGAGUCGGCCUGCGCGGAAGAUGUAACGGGGCUAAACCAUGCACCGAAGCUGCGGCAGCGACGCUUAUGCGUUGUUGGGUAGGGGAGCGUUCUGUAAGCCUGCGAAGGUGUGCUGUGAGGCAUGCUGGAGGUAUCAGAAGUGCGAAUGCUGACAUAAGUAACGAUAAAGCGGGUGAAAAGCCCGCUCGCCGGAAGACCAAGGGUUCCUGUCCAACGUUAAUCGGGGCAGGGUGAGUCGACCCCUAAGGCGAGGCCGAAAGGCGUAGUCGAUGGGAAACAGGUUAAUAUUCCUGUACUUGGUGUUACUGCGAAGGGGGGACGGAGAAGGCUAUGUUGGCCGGGCGACGGUUGUCCCGGUUUAAGCGUGUAGGCUGGUUUUCCAGGCAAAUCCGGAAAAUCAAGGCUGAGGCGUGAUGACGAGGCACUACGGUGCUGAAGCAACAAAUGCCCUGCUUCCAGGAAAAGCCUCUAAGCAUCAGGUAACAUCAAAUCGUACCCCAAACCGACACAGGUGGUCAGGUAGAGAAUACCAAGGCGCUUGAGAGAACUCGGGUGAAGGAACUAGGCAAAAUGGUGCCGUAACUUCGGGAGAAGGCACGCUGAUAUGUAGGUGAAGCGACUUGCUCGUGGAGCUGAAAUCAGUCGAAGAUACCAGCUGGCUGCAACUGUUUAUUAAAAACACAGCACUGUGCAAACACGAAAGUGGACGUAUACGGUGUGACGCCUGCCCGGUGCCGGAAGGUUAAUUGAUGGGGUUAGCGCAAGCGAAGCUCUUGAUCGAAGCCCCGGUAAACGGCGGCCGUAACUAUAACGGUCCUAAGGUAGCGAAAUUCCUUGUCGGGUAAGUUCCGACCUGCACGAAUGGCGUAAUGAUGGCCAGGCUGUCUCCACCCGAGACUCAGUGAAAUUGAACUCGCUGUGAAGAUGCAGUGUACCCGCGGCAAGACGGAAAGACCCCGUGAACCUUUACUAUAGCUUGACACUGAACAUUGAGCCUUGAUGUGUAGGAUAGGUGGGAGGCUUAGAAGUGUGGACGCCAGUCUGCAUGGAGCCGACCUUGAAAUACCACCCUUUAAUGUUUGAUGUUCUAACGUUGACCCGUAAUCCGGGUUGCGGACAGUGUCUGGUGGGUAGUUUGACUGGGGCGGUCUCCUCCUAAAGAGUAACGGAGGAGCACGAAGGUUGGCUAAUCCUGGUCGGACAUCAGGAGGUUAGUGCAAUGGCAUAAGCCAGCUUGACUGCGAGCGUGACGGCGCGAGCAGGUGCGAAAGCAGGUCAUAGUGAUCCGGUGGUUCUGAAUGGAAGGGCCAUCGCUCAACGGAUAAAAGGUACUCCGGGGAUAACAGGCUGAUACCGCCCAAGAGUUCAUAUCGACGGCGGUGUUUGGCACCUCGAUGUCGGCUCAUCACAUCCUGGGGCUGAAGUAGGUCCCAAGGGUAUGGCUGUUCGCCAUUUAAAGUGGUACGCGAGCUGGGUUUAGAACGUCGUGAGACAGUUCGGUCCCUAUCUGCCGUGGGCGCUGGAGAACUGAGGGGGGCUGCUCCUAGUACGAGAGGACCGGAGUGGACGCAUCACUGGUGUUCGGGUUGUCAUGCCAAUGGCACUGCCCGGUAGCUAAAUGCGGAAGAGAUAAGUGCUGAAAGCAUCUAAGCACGAAACUUGCCCCGAGAUGAGUUCUCCCUGACCCUUUAAGGGUCCUGAAGGAACGUUGAAGACGACGACGUUGAUAGGCCGGGUGUGUAAGCGCAGCGAUGCGUUGAGCUAACCGGUACUAAUGAACCGUGAGGCUUAACCUU
RNAcentral lists this ribosomal RNA (2904 nucleotides) under Escherichia coli. Its description in RNAcentral is "bacterial LSU rRNA". It matches the Rfam family "Bacterial large subunit ribosomal RNA". RNAcentral also lists the same sequence under 8 other names. The record is from RNAcentral. Lineage: Bacteria; Pseudomonadati; Pseudomonadota; Gammaproteobacteria; Enterobacterales; Enterobacteriaceae.